Etheostoma cragini (Arkansas darter) is the source of this 142-nucleotide long non-coding RNA. RefSeq lists it as uncharacterized. The transcript has 3 exons. The record is from RefSeq and is a predicted model, not a curated record. NCBI's taxonomy places the organism in Eukaryota, Metazoa, Chordata, Actinopteri, Perciformes, Percidae.
GAUUAUGGUCCAACUUUUCAUAUUCAAAUUUGUUUAUUAGGAUAAACCCCUUGAGAUGUAUCAUCUCGUUUUCAUAGGGGGGUCCCAACAUAUAACACAAUCCUUUCAUAACAACAGAGGAGUGAAAGAAAAUAAAAUUAAA